Molecule: transfer RNA, 56 nt
Filed under: Gyrinops ledermannii
Lineage: Eukaryota; Viridiplantae; Streptophyta; Magnoliopsida; Malvales; Thymelaeaceae
Description: partial tRNA-Phe
Rfam family: tRNA
About the family: Transfer RNA (tRNA) molecules are approximately 80 nucleotides in length. Their secondary structure includes four short double-helical elements and three loops (D, anti-codon, and T loops).
Source: RNAcentral
CGGGAUAGCUCAGCUGGUAGAGCAGAGGACUGAAAAUCCUCGGGUAACCAGUUAAA